GAACAGCAUAGGCAAACCUAUCGAAAGGUAGAGACGCAAAGCCACGGGUCUAAGGAAGUACUUUGUACUUUCAAGAUAGCCGGGUUGCAGAA
RNAcentral lists this non-coding RNA (92 nucleotides) under Desulfosporosinus lacus. RNAcentral describes it as "c-di-GMP sequence". It matches the Rfam family "c-di-GMP-I riboswitch aptamer". From Rfam's summary of the family: GEMM was predicted in a large-scale screen for bacterial structured RNA regulatory elements. Genes associated with GEMM are involved in a diverse array of functions, including chemotaxis regulation, signal transduction, secretion and chitin. RNAcentral also lists the same sequence under 1 other name. The record is from RNAcentral. Lineage: Bacteria; Bacillati; Bacillota; Clostridia; Eubacteriales; Desulfitobacteriaceae.